UACGUAGGGUGCAAGCGUUGUCCGGAAUUAUUGGGCGUAAAGUGUGCGCAGGCGGCCGAGCAAGCCGAGUGUGAAAGCCCCGGGCUUAACCUGGGAACUGCGCUCGAAACUACUUGGCUUGAGUGUGGCAGAGGGAGGUGGAAUUCCACGUGUAGCGGUGAAAUGCGUAGAGAUGUGGAGGAACACCGAUGGCGAAGGCAGCCUCCUGGGCCAACACUGACGCUCAUGCACGAAAGCGUGGGGAGCAAACAGG
RNAcentral lists this ribosomal RNA (253 nucleotides) under uncultured bacterium. RNAcentral describes it as "partial 16S ribosomal RNA". It matches the Rfam family "Bacterial small subunit ribosomal RNA", at positions 524 to 776 of the family's 1533-position model. The record is from RNAcentral.